This 1458-nucleotide ribosomal RNA is filed under the name uncultured Bordetella sp. RNAcentral's name for it is "partial 16S-23S ribosomal RNA intergenic spacer". It matches the Rfam family "Bacterial small subunit ribosomal RNA". The record is from RNAcentral. Lineage: Bacteria; Pseudomonadati; Pseudomonadota; Betaproteobacteria; Burkholderiales; Alcaligenaceae.
GGUUUGAUCAUGGCUCAGAUUGAACGCUGGCGGGAUGCUUUACACAUGCAAGUCGAACGGCAGCAUUGACUCUGGUCUGUAAGUAUGAGGGCAAUGGUGAGUAAUAUCGAACGCUCAGUAGCGGGGGAUAACUACGCGAAAGCGUAGCUAAUACCGCAUACCGCCUUCGGGGGAAAGCGGGGGACCUUCGGGCCUCGCACCACAGAGUGUGGCUGAUAUCGGAUUAGCUAGUUGGUGGGGUAACGGCGCUCACUAAGGCGACGAUCCGUAGCUGGUUUGAGAGGACGACUCAGCCACACUGGGACUGAGACACGGCCUAGACUCCUACGGAGGCAGCAGUGGGGAAUUUUGGACAAUGGGGGAAACCCUGAUCCAGCCAUCCUGCGUGUGCGAUGAAGGCCUUCGGGUUGUAAAAGCAAUUUUUGCAGGAAAGAAACGGCAUUGGAUAAUACCCCGUGCAACUGACUGUACCUGCAGAAUAAGCACCGAGCACUACGUGCCAGCAGCCGCGGUAAUACGUAGGGUGCAAGUGUUAAUCGGAAUUACUGGCGUAAAGUGCAGGCGGUCUGGAAAGAAAGAUGUGAAAUCCUGAGCUUAACUUUGGAACUGCAUUUUUAGCUACCGAGCUAUGUGUCAGAGAGGUGGAAUUCCGCGUGUAGCAGUGAAUGCAGAUAUGCGGAGGAACACCGAUGACAAGGCACUGGGAUAACACUGACGCCUGGCUAUGCACGAAAGCGUGGGGACAAACAGGAUUAGAUACUCCUCGGUAGUCCACGCCCUAAAUGAUGUCAACUUACGUUGGGGCCUUCUGGCUCGGUAGCGCAGCUAACGCGUGAAGUUGACCGCCUGGGGAGUACGGUCGCAAGAUUAAAACUCAAAGGAAUUGACGGGGAUUCCGCACAAGCGGUGGAGGUGAUGUGGAUUAAUUGAUGCAACGCGAAAACCUUACCUACCCUUGACAUGUCUGGAAUCCCGAAGAGAUUUGGGAGUGCUCGCAAGAGAACCGGAACACAGGUGCUGCAUGGCUGUCGUCAGCUCGUGCCGAGAUGUUGGGUUAAGUCCCGCAACGAGCGGCAACCUUGUCAUUAGUUGCUACGAAAGGGCACUCUAAUGAGACUGCCGGUGACAAACUGAGGAAGGUGGGGAUGACGUCAAGUCCAUGGCCCUUUUAUGGGUAGGGCUUACACGUCAUACAAUGGUCGGGACAGAGGGUCGCCAACCCGCGAGAGAGCCAACUCAGAAACCGGAUCAGGUCCGGAUCGCAGUCUGCAACUCGACCGCGUGAAGCCUGUAACCGCUUAGUAACUGCACGAUCAGCAUGUCGCGGUGAAUACGUUCCGGUCUUGUACACACCGCCCGUCACACCAUGGGAGUGGCUCUACCAGAAGUAGUUAGCCUAACCGUAAGGAGGGCGAUUACCAUGUAGGAUUCAUGACUUGGGUGAAGUCGUAAUAAGGU